UUGAGAGUUUGAUCCUGGCUCAGAACGAACGCUGGCGGCAGGCCUAACACAUGCAAGUCGAGCGAGACCUUCGGGUCUAGCGGCGGACGGGUUAGUAACGCGUGGGAACGUACCCUUUUCUGCAGGAUAGCCACUGGAAACGGUGAGUAAUACUGCAUACGCCCUUCGGGGGAAAGAUUUAUCGGAGAAGGAUCGGCCCGCGUUAGAUUAGAUAGUUGGUGGGGUAACGGCCUACCAAGUCUACGAUCUAUAGCUGGUUUGAGAGGAUGAUCAGCAACACUGGGACUGAGACACGGCCCAGACUCCUACGGG
RNAcentral lists this ribosomal RNA (312 nucleotides) under Kryptoperidinium foliaceum. Its description in RNAcentral is "partial Bacterial small subunit ribosomal RNA". It matches the Rfam family "Bacterial small subunit ribosomal RNA", at positions 1 to 345 of the family's 1533-position model. The record is from RNAcentral. Lineage: Eukaryota; Dinophyceae; Peridiniales; Kryptoperidiniaceae.